Long non-coding RNA from Cyanistes caeruleus (blue tit), 335 nucleotides. RefSeq lists it as uncharacterized. NCBI's taxonomy places the organism in Eukaryota, Metazoa, Chordata, Aves, Passeriformes, Paridae. The record is from RefSeq and is a predicted model, not a curated record.
CACAUGUGGCUUCAAGGAGGAGCAAAGCCACCAGUGCUAAUAUGAACCACUUCCAAGGGAGUAGAAGUAGGGUGGUUUUAUUUUCUUCUUUUUAGCCUGAGGCUGUACAAGCUCAGAAGAUUUUUAGAAGGAUUUUUUGGUACUCACACCUAGGAGCCCAGUUGCAGAGGGGAGUGAGAGAACAGCCUUGAUGGGUAUCUGCCAUCCAGCCAGGGGCAAUCCAGCACAGUGUGAAAUACAAUGAUCCUGCUCACCAGGCCUUCUGUGUAUUUGCUCCUCACAUACCCAGUGGUCUUCACAAGUGGCAAGCCGGGAAACAAAUGGAGAUGGAGCAG